UACGAAGGGGGCUAGCGUUGUUCGGAUUUACUGGGCGUAAAGCGCACGUAGGCGGAUCGUUAAGUCGGGGGUGAAAUCCUGGAGCUCAACUCCAGAACUGCCUUCGAUACUGGCGAUCUUGAGUCCGGAAGAGGUGAGUGGAACUCCUAGUGUAGAGGUGGAAUGCGCAGAUAUCAGGAGGAACACCAAUGGCGAAGGCAGCUCGCUGGGACGGUACUGACGCUGAGACGCGAAAGCGUGGGGAGCAAACAGG
This 253-nucleotide ribosomal RNA is filed under the name uncultured bacterium. RNAcentral describes it as "partial 16S ribosomal RNA". It matches the Rfam family "Bacterial small subunit ribosomal RNA", at positions 524 to 776 of the family's 1533-position model. The record is from RNAcentral.